Long non-coding RNA from Myiozetetes cayanensis, 858 nucleotides. RefSeq lists it as uncharacterized. NCBI's taxonomy places the organism in Eukaryota, Metazoa, Chordata, Aves, Passeriformes, Tyrannidae. The record is from RefSeq and is a predicted model, not a curated record. The transcript is spliced from 9 exons.
UGGAAUUGCCAGUCUGUCCGUGAGCUGAGCUGUGGCUGCAGGGCACUGUCAGAUGGUGGAAUUGCCAGUCUGUCCGUGAGCUGAGCUGUGGCUGCAGGGCACUGUCAGGUAUUGUUGGCUAUGGUGGAAUUGCCAGUCUGUCCGUGAGCUGAGCUGUGGCUGCAGGGCACUGUCAGAUGGUGGAAUUGCCAGUCUGUCCGUGAGCUGAGCUGUGGCUGCAGGGCACUGUCAGAUGGUGGAAUUGCCAGUCUGUCCGUGAGCUGAGCUGUGGCUGCAGGGCACUGUCAGAUGGUGGAAUUGCCAGUCUGUCCGUGAGCUGAGCUGUGGCUGCAGGGCACUGUCAGAGACCGACCAAACUGGAGAAUUUGAAUCAGAGAGGAAGCGAUGCACAACAAAUGCAGGGAGAAAUGGUGGAAUGGUGAUGGAAUCCUGCAGUGGUUCGGGUUGCAAGGGACCUUAAAGCUCAUGCAGCCCCACUGCCUGAGCAGGGACACCUUCCCCUAGCCCAGGGAAAAAGGCUGGAGCAAGAGGUUCCAAAAAGAACGGGGCUUUCUGCACGACAAAACCCGGGAGUGCCCGAUCCUGCCUGGAAGGAGGGGGGGGUGAACGGGCGGUGGGCGCCGCCAUGAAAGGAGCCGAGGGGCAGGGACUUGUCCGUACAAGGAGUGUCGGGGCGUGCCCAUGGCCAUAAAAGGACAGGACAAAGCAUUGAACUGGGAGAAGUUCUGCCAAAUCUUUGGGGUGUGUGCAGCCACAGGGAAGAGGCUCCAGCCAUGAUGCCCCAGAGAGCAUCAGUGAAAGCAGCACUAUUGCCCUGGCGUGUGCCCACUGCCAAUUGUUCACCCAACACAAUUCCAA